AAUGGUUAGCACUCUGGACUCUG
RNAcentral lists this non-coding RNA (23 nucleotides) under Cricetulus griseus (Chinese hamster). RNAcentral also lists the same sequence under 1 other name. Lineage: Eukaryota; Metazoa; Chordata; Mammalia; Rodentia; Cricetidae. The record is from RNAcentral.